UAGAUUGGAAUUGUCUUUUGUAGAUUUAAAGUCUAUAACUAGGUAGACUGGAAUAUUGGUUGCUAUAAUCUGCUUGGUACCAGCCCUUGCCUGAAACAAUCAACAUUUGGGGCAUUUUUCCUACCAAUAAAGGAGGCCGGCCAGUCGCCAUAUGACUUGACAAUCAACUAAACAAUUGUUUCUAGUUUAGCUAAGGGUUUGUUUAAGAUAUGAUCAAUGUUAACAUUUUGAGAUUGGAAUGUUGUUUUGUUAACCCAGUGACUUUUCAGUAAACCUAUAGACCAUGGAGUCUGAAUGGCUUAAGUGGCAUUAAAUGUGAUGAUGGAUAGAUGUCAGGAAAUGGAUGGUAAAAGCACACCUGUGACAGAGUAAUGAAGUACUUGACAUGCAUGGUGGAAGUUGAUCGAGACUAUCAAUUCUUCGAGAGGUCCAGCGACUUUAUACUCGCAAGAAGGAUAUGGUAUGGAAUAGCUUUCUACACCUCUGGGCUGGCAGAUUUGUAAGAUUGGAAGUUGUUUCAGUGUGGAGAGAGAUGAACACUUUGUAUGGUCAGUGAACCCUUGCAACAUGUUGGCUGGAUUUAUGUCGGAAUGUGUGUGGCUGUGUGACAUUGGUGAAGUGAUUUUUAUGACAUUGGUGAAGUGUGAUUGUGCUGGAAAGUGACAUGAUGGAGCAUUGUAAACCUAUAGACCAUGGAGUCUGAAUGGCUUAAGUGGCAUUAAAUGUGAUGAUGGAUAGAUGUCAGGAAAUGGAUGGUAAAAAGCACACCUGUGACAGAGUAAUGAAGUACUUGACAUGCAUGGUGGAAGUUGAUCGAGACUAUCAAUUCUUCGAGAGGUCCAGCGACUUUAUACUCGCAAGAAGGAUAUGGUAUGGAAUAGCUUUCUACACCUCUGGGCUGGCAGAUUUGUAAGAUUGGAAGUUGUUUCAGUGUGGAGAGAGAUGAACACUUUGUAUGGUCGGUAAAAUUUGCUUUUGAAGUCACAAGUAAGUCUCAAUAAAGGCAUUUCCAUUUCUAGUUUUCUAACUAGCUAUGUAUUGAAAAGUUGGUGGUUCUACUCUUAAAAGGUGUCUGUCUUUGUCCCAAGCAAGUCUCAAUAAAGCCAUUUCCAUUACCUGAUUUCUAACUAGCUAUGUAUUGGAAAGUUGAUGGUUCUACUCUUAAAAGGUGUCUGUCUUUGUCCCAAGUAAGUCUUAAUAAAGCCAUUUCCAUUUCUUGUUUUCUAACUAGCUAUGUAUUGGAAAGUUGGUGGUUCUACUCUUAAAAGGUGUCUUGUCUUUGUCCGGAACAAUGUCAUUAAGGCACAUUUUCCUCUACCUUUAAAGCUUGACAGUCACCAAAAUAGAACAUAGAAUUGUAUCUGUUUAAUAGAAAAAAUGCUUAGGUUACAUUGUUACUUUUUGAGAUUGCAAUGUUGUUCUGUUAACCCCAGUGACAUUUCAGUGAACCCUUGCAACAUGUUGGCUGGAUUUAUGUUGGAAUGUGUGUGGCUGUGUGACAUUGGCGAAGUGAUUUUUAUGACAUUGGUGAAGUGAGAUUGUGCUGGAAAGUGACAUGAUGGAGCAUUGGUAAAUGAUCUAUUUUGAAUUUGUGUAAGUCAUAGGACAGCUGGAGUGCAACAUGUAUGGAGGCUCAAUUUUUCAAUAGUUUAGUAAUAAAUCAGUUACACAUUCAGUAGAUUGGAAUUGUCUUUUGUAGAUUUAAAGUCUAUAACUAGGUAGACUGGAAUAUUGGUUGCUAUAAUCUGUUUGGUACCAGCCCUUGCCUGAAAUAAUGAACAUUUGGGGCUUUUUUCCUACCAAUAAAGGAGGCCGGCCAGUCGCCAUAUGACUUUACAACCAACUAAACAAUUGUUUCUAGGUUAGCUAAGGGUUUGUUUAAGAUAUGGUCAAUGUUAACAUUUUGAGAUUGGAAUGUUUUUUUGUUAACCCAGUGACUUUUCAGUAAACCUAUAGACCAUGGAGUCUGAAGGGCUUAAGUGGCAUUAAAUGUGA
Molecule: long non-coding RNA, 1995 nt
Organism: Ruditapes philippinarum (Manila clam)
Lineage: Eukaryota; Metazoa; Mollusca; Bivalvia; Venerida; Veneridae
Exons: 3
Source: RefSeq, a predicted model, not a curated record